Molecule: long non-coding RNA, 925 nt
Organism: Ruditapes philippinarum (Manila clam)
Lineage: Eukaryota; Metazoa; Mollusca; Bivalvia; Venerida; Veneridae
Exons: 3
Source: RefSeq, a predicted model, not a curated record
AGUCAGUUUAACAGUUUUCGCGAGUAGAAAUAAGCGUUCCCAAUAAAAAUAAAUCAACCAUCUGCUAUCUAUAUCGUCGGUGUUUCGCUCUUUCUCAAGUUUCUUUGUAAUUAUUGUGAGCGCUUAGACGUAUACACUCUCAAAUGUUGGAAUAUUUUGUUCUUGAAGUGUUACAAUAUAGCCAAUUCAUAAUAGAAAUGGGUAAAAGUCGAUUUCAAUUGAAAUGGCUGAAAAAUUUUAGUUGGGUACAGAAAUCAAGUGAUAUUAGAAAGGCGCAUUGCCGAGUUUGUAUGAAAAAUAUUGAAAUCGGUAGUAUGGGAGAGAGCGCCCUGAAGUCACGAAAAAGUUGAAAGUCACAAAGAAAAUUUUAAAAAACAACAGAAACAGGGAUCAUGUAAUUUGUUUUUUGUUAAACAAGAAGGGAUUUUUAUUGAGGCUAAAAAGACUAAUUCUGACUCAAAUAACAAUGUAAUAAAUGAUAACGAGGUUGCCUCUAUGUCAAAGCCUAAAGAAGACUUUUCCAGUGGUUUGUCUUUGUGACUGAAAGUAUAAUAUAAUAAGGAAUGGUUCCAAAAAUAAGAAAAAAGAAAUUGAAGAACUUGAAGUGCAGAGGAUCACCCGGAAAGUCUUAAAAAACUUGCGGGCAACUUCAAGGAGUUUUUAAAUACUUGUCUGGCCGAGGAGGCAGAUGAGGAUGUGGAGCAAUGUGUUUCAGAAUACAUAAAGGGUCUGUCCCAGACUGUCUCAAGUAUUGGAGAGCCAAGGCUUUCUUUGGAGGUAAAAGCUAAAAGUGCAGAUAAUGAUGAGGUAACUCUAUACAGUAAUAUUUCCGAAACUUUGGAAUGUUUUCGUUUUAAAUAUCAUUACGUAAGCGAGUUCUUUAAUGGAAUAUAUAAUGGGAGUAUAAUGUAGGAUCCAUUUUUUA